CAAAGUUCCAAUGUACCCUCCCCCAAACACACACACACACAAACUAUUGCAAGCGCCUUAACUAGAGCUCAGUCAGUUUGUGUAAUUUCAUCCAAUGGUUUAUGUAAAAACUAACAUUUAUCUACGUGUUUGAAGCCAUUAUGCAGUGGAACGCUGGCAACAAAGCUCUGCCUGAUCAACACUAUAAAUGAUAAAUGAUCCGUACUUGUAUAGCGCCUCUCAGAGUAAGGACUCCAAAGCGCUUUACACUACAGUGUAUCAUUCAUCCAUUCACACACACAUUCACACAAUGAUGGUGAUGAGCUACGAUGUAGCCACAGCUGCCCUGGGGCGCACUGACAGACGCGCCCCACUAUUUAAUUCAGUCAUUUGUUGUUCUUCCAAUCAAUUACUAACCAAAACCUCAUGCUUUAUGCUAAACAUUAAAUGAUUUUCAGCAUACCAAUCUUUACAGAAAACAUAAAAGCCCUAAAAAAAACUGCACAUAAAAUAUAUUUUAAAAACGAGAUUCACCUAUCACUUAGAGCAGUUGUUCCCAAACUUUUCAGCCUGACCAACAAAUGUUCCUUCGUAUUUUUACAUUAUAUAUAUAAAUCUCUUAAAAUUUUAUAUUUUACUUUUUUUAUUGAUUAUGUGGCACUCUUGACUUCCAUAUAUAACGCAUUUGCCUCUGCCUCUAUUUUACGACUUUUUUUUUUACAUUGUCGCUACUUCUGUCACGUUAGCGGUGUUUUACCAUCAUUUCUACAUCCAUCACGUCCCAGAGAAGGUUAAACCAACAUCAAACCCAACGUUUGGAGCUUGUAAACUCCACACACCUCUCGUGCAGCACCAGCUGUCUGAUGCUGCAGCAGCAUCAAUCGUCCCAGCUGGAUGAGUGAAUUUCUUCAUCAGAGUCAAUAUUCUGCUUCAUAAUCAGAGUCAGUCAUUACCAGACAAAGUGAUCAGUCAACAAAGACCAGACCUGCCGGCAAUUAUACGUUUUAGCCAAUAUUUACGCUCUUCAUGCUGCGCGCAUCUCCUCCUCUCCCUGACUGGGAGCCUCUCGGCGGGAGGCGUUUUUCAAACUCUAAAAACUCCCAAACUUUGCUCAGCCUGAAGGUUCCACAUCUCCACUAUCUUCUGGUGUAAAGUAGUAACUUCAUGAGGGAUCAUAUUUGUAGAUGAGACUUGUUAAAGUCAGCAAUGAGGCUUUGGUGCUUAAAACGAGUAAGCCCCAACACUGACAACAAUGUACUGAAACUAGAACCAACAUGCAUAAACAGACAGAUCGGUCCCGCCUACUUACACUGUUGGUCUUUUUUAAAUACGCAGUAAUCGUUGCUUGUCUUUUUCGCUUCAUCCUGCAUCCUAGCAACAACUCCUUUGGCGCCUCUGUAGUCUGUUUGUUUAUGUCAUGCUGCAUUCAGUGUAAUUGAAAAAGGAGCUUCAAGCGCUUAACCUCCGAUUUUGUUUUCUUUGUAGCCUUAGUUGGGGGGGACGGAUCAGGGUCGAUCUGAAUCUGAGGGGGACAGAUCCCCCCCACCCCCACCCUAUCUGCGUGCCUUUACACGAGCGAACUGUGACCUGGCGUUGUGAUUUUGCACUACUUAGAUGUAGCCAUCCUUACGCUGACAAAAAUCUAGAAGAGAAUCCAAGGAACAUGCAGAGAUGCCAGAGGUUUCUAGAAGAGAAUCCAAGGAACAUGCAGAGAUGCCAGAGGUUUCUAGAAGAGAAUCCAAGGAACAUGCAGAGAUGCCAGAGGUUUGGCCUUUGCAUGAUGAAGUCUAGAACUUCAGGGUACAUGCAUGACAUGAGUGCCAUUGGUUUUUAUUUUUGUUUGCUUUUGACUGUGUUGUCAGAAAUCUGACUAACAGACUGACAUUUUUGCAACUAAACACCACUUUCCAUGGUUUUUCUUACAAGCAUGCUGAGAUCUGAUCAAGUACGUAUUUUUGACAAACAUAUUUCACAAAUCAGGAUGACAUAACGCCUUCAGCGUUAGCUAUGCUUUCUAACAACGUAUAAUUUUGUUGCUUGCAUAAAUGUCACUGCUUCCUGACCUAUUCCCACCGGCUGCAUGCAGUCCACCAAGGGUUAAAUUGCCGCUAAUCCCUUCUGAGUAUUUUCUCUUCUUUCAUUAGAGGAACAGCGGAGUACUGCUGUCGAUAUUCUAAGACUUAUACAUGGUAAGGAAUCGCUCGUGAUCACAUAAAAUCUGAUUUAGGUGAGAAAUGUUAACCCUUUGAGUGUUGUGCUUCAGCGCUAACGCUAGCUUUGUAAACUGUCAGCACUGAAUGUUUGUUUUUAAUGAGUUUAAAUGUGUUUUGCAGACCCGCUGACCGCCACAUGGAGAUGGUGACCGAGAUCGUUGUUCCCACCGUGUGCACACUUUGUAUUCUGCUCAGCACCAUCUUCCUUAUGUUCCUGCUGAGAAGAAGAAACUAGAAAGUGUGUGUGUGUGUGUGUGUGUGUGUGUGUGUGUGUGUGUGUGUGUGUGUGUGUGUGUGUGUGUGUGUGUGUGUGUGUGUGUGUGUGUGUGUGUGUGUGUGUGUGUGUGUGUGUGUGUGUGUGUGUGUGUGUGUGUGUGUCCUUCGCCAGUCAGGUCUGGUGUCCUCCCCUGCUCCUUUCUGCUCCUCCUCUCAGUUAUUGUUUUCACCUGUGCCAGUUCUCCACACACCUGCUCCUCGUCUCCUAUCACUCCAGCCCCAGUGUAUAAAACCCUCUCCUUGUCUCAGUGUUGUGUUGGUCCAUUGUGCUUCUGUCACUCUCUUCUCGCGUUAUCUCUAGUGCUUCCAGUGUCUCUUAGUUUCUUGUGUUUUUGGAUCUCCAGCUCAGCUUUUUGGAUAUUUUGCAGUUUUGGCUGCAGCCCUUUUGGAUUUAUUUUUGUUUUCAUUCAUCCUAAAUAAAAGGAUUUUACUUUAUCUCCACUUCUCCCUCGUGUCAUCCUGGGUUCUGCAUUUUUGGGUUCUAACCACCUCCUAGCUCGUAUCGUGACACCAUCUGAGGGCAUGUCAAGCAGCCCAGCUCAGAGGCUGAUGUCUCGCAGAUUGAGGACCCCACUUCCAAAGGCUGAUGCGCUCCUGGAGCCAAGUGUGAUCACUGGGGUUCUAGACAGACUGCGGGUCAAACAUCAAAGCUCUGGUAUGACAGGUCAGCCAGAGAUCUGCCUGAGUUGAACAUCGGACAUGACAUGAUGAAGCCUUUGCCCCGACACAGGACAGGCAAGUGGAGAAGAGGAGUCUUUAUGCAGCUAGUGGGUCCCAGAUUGUACCUGGUGGAUGUGGAAGGAACAUACUACAGGCAAAACCACGUCGAUCUACGGCCAGCAGAGGUUGGAGGGACAGAGCUAUGCCACAAGCAGCACAGUGAACAGCGGGUGCCAAAAAAACUGAACCUAUAGCAAGGACUGUAGACAGUAUCUGUUGUUAAAAAAAUGGAAUAUUGUUCAUUUAUAUGAGUUCAUGUUGUAAUGCUGUGAAAUACUAAAAUGCACUUGAGAUGUUACCUAAUAACACACAAAAAAAGGGGUGGAUGGGGGUGUUAUGGGAUGAUGUUCAGUUAAUGGUAGCACCCUCCUCCCUCCUGUGUUGUGUUAUAGAAUGAUAUGGCCCAAGUGAGGAAGGGAAGUGCUAUUAUUGUAUUGGUGCAAGCUCUCUAAAUGAGCUCUUUGAUUAAACAUGCUUCAUGCCUCCAUUGUUUAUCACACAAUCUCCAGCCCCCCAGGUAGGUCCAAAAUAAACUGGAUCAGUCACA
This is a non-coding RNA of Nothobranchius furzeri (turquoise killifish), 3735 nucleotides long. Lineage: Eukaryota; Metazoa; Chordata; Actinopteri; Cyprinodontiformes; Nothobranchiidae. The record is from RefSeq and is a predicted model, not a curated record.